This 2444-nucleotide long non-coding RNA is filed under the name Malus domestica (apple). RNAcentral's name for it is "long non-coding RNA (MDOM_LNC001507)". Lineage: Eukaryota; Viridiplantae; Streptophyta; Magnoliopsida; Rosales; Rosaceae. The record is from RNAcentral.
UAAUUUCCAAUUCUCCACGACAAGAAGAAACUGGCGGCUGCCGAGGUCUAUUUAGUGAAGAGAAGUCGUCCUCAAAUUGUUUCUGUCCAACCACAAAGCACAAGGCCGCCAUGGACGGCAGCCGAGUCGACUGGACAAACCUCCCACACCAGCUCCCCCCACUCAUCGCCGACCUCCUCCAAACCCACCUCGAACACCUCCGAUUCCGCAGCGUCUGCAACUCCUGGCGCUCCUCCAUUCCACCCUUGCAAAGUUCCAAUGUCCCUAGAUUCCCUACUCCGCUCUCCCUCGGGCCCACUGCCGUCCUCUGCCCAACCACCGUCUACCUCCUCCGCCCCGACCCAAAUUCAAAUCCAAAUCCUUCCGCGUCAUCAUCUUCAACCUCUUCGUCCAAGGGUUGGCUGCUGAAGCUGGAAGAGUCUUCCGGCAAACUUCGUCUCCUGAACCCGAUCACCAGCUGGCGGAUCGGGUCCGUAAGCGAUGGUGUUCCGGUAAACCCCAUGGAUUUGAAUUUGCUGGACUUCAACAUGGUGGAGAUGGCCAGAUCAUAUGUGCUCAGAUAUAUAAAUGGAUCCGGAUCCGUUUUUGGCAUAAACAAGGUGAUUAAAUCCCCCAUUUUCAAAGAUUACUGCUCAAUUUUCUUUAUUUACAACGAAGGAAAAUUGGGUUUUGCAAAAACUGGAGAUCAAAAGCUCACACUCAUCAACGAUCAAGUUUCUGACUACGAUGACAUGAUUGUGUACAAGGGUCAUCCUUUUGUUGUGGACAAAUGGGGUCAAAUUUUUUGCAUCAGUUCGUCGUUGGAAUUGACCCCGGUUUCACCUCCGAUCGGGUUUGGUCACCGUAAGAAUUUAAUCGAGUGUUGCGGAGAGCUUUAUGUGGUGGAUAGGUACCUGGAUCACCAAGGUACAAACUCUCAAGAAGGAGGUGUUGGUUCUGUUCGUUACAAUCACUUUCUCCGCCAUCCUCUCCGCAGGCGGAGGUUCUACGAGGCGGGUCAGCCGAAGGUGGUGGACUUUAGGGUUUAUAAGUUGUUGGAGGAUGGUGCUGAGGAGUUGGGGAGGAGAUGGGUUGAAUUGAAGAGCUUGGGGGAGCAAGCUUUUUUCUUGAGCAUCGAUUGUUGCUUCUCUGUUUUGGCUGCAGAGUUGGAGGGGUGUAAAGGCAAUUGCAUAUACUUCACAGAUUCUAAUGACAUUGGUCUUGCAUUGAGAGAGUUGAUUAGGCCGGAUGGGUCAGUUUUUAGCAUGGAGGAUCGUAGCAUUGAGAGGCUUGGAUCUUCCCCUCUUUAUUCCAAGAUGUUUUGGCCACUCCCAAUUUGAUUAUCAUUUGAAUUUACGUAAGUUUAUACUAGCUUCUGUACACGCGUUAGCGCUUGUGAAAUAGACAUGUUUUAAUAAGCAUAUGUGAUUGGAAUCACUAAAUUUAGAUGAACUGUUGAAAACAGUCGUGCGACUGUGGAUUUAGAUUGAUGAGUCAUCAUUUGAAUUGAUGAAAGUAUAUUCUAGCUUCUAUCAGCACUUGUAAAUAGUUCUUUUUUAGUAAGUGCAUGUGAUUGCGAUCAGUAAAUUUAGAUGAACGACUCAAAAGAGUCGUGCCACAUACAGUAUACCAUGAGCAUACACUAUAGUUUACCGAUUACUGUAAAAAUGUCGUACCCAGUGCACAAGACUUCCGCUUUACGCAGGGUCUGGGAGAGGUGAAUGUCGGCUAGCCUUACCUCUAUUUAUGGAGAGGCUGCUCCCAAGUCUCGAACCCGAGACCUACCGCUCAUGGACGAAAGCACUUGCCAUCGCACCGACCUCUUAGUUUACCGAUUACUGUGAUGAGCAAAAAUGCUCCAGUCCUUAGAACUUUAGUUAGCAUAUGAAUUUCAAUUAAAUAAGAGAAAUUAGAGAAAAACACAACGAACAAAUACAUAUAGUCGUUUAGAGUGUCAUAUAAUUUCAGCACGAGAAUCUGAAUCCGAGGAAUACCUCGAAAUCCGACUGAUCUGAACCGCCCUGCAAUUUCAAAGAAACAGAGAUGGAGGAAGAUGAAGAGAAGUCGUCCUCAAAUUAUUUCAGUCCAACCACAAAGAACAAGGCCUCCAUGGACGGCAGCCGAGUCGACUGGACAAACCUCCCACACCAGCUCCCCCCACUCAUCGCCGACCGCCUCCAAACCCACCUCGAACACCUCCGAUAUCGCAGCGUCUGCAGCUCCUGGCGCUCCUCCAUUCCCCGCUUCCAAAGUUCCAAUCCCCCCAGAUUCCCUUUUCCGCUCUCCCAAGGGCCCACUGCCUUCCUCUCCCAAACCACCGUCUACCUCCUCCGCCCCGACCCGGAUCCAAAUGCAAAUCGUUCCGCGUCAUCAUCUUCAGCCUCUUCAUUCAAGGGUUGGCUGCUGAAGCUGGAAGAGUCUUCUGGCAAAAUCCGUCUCCUGAAUCCGAUCACCAGCUCGCGGAU